This 107-nucleotide small RNA is filed under the name Salmonella enterica. Its description in RNAcentral is "partial RtT sRNA". It matches the Rfam family "RtT RNA", at positions 1 to 106 of the family's 130-position model. From Rfam's summary of the family: This family represents a bacterial cis-regulatory element known as RtT RNA. The exact function of RtT is unknown although it is thought that it may be involved in changing the cellular response in relation to amino acid starvation. Lineage: Bacteria; Pseudomonadati; Pseudomonadota; Gammaproteobacteria; Enterobacterales; Enterobacteriaceae. The record is from RNAcentral.
AUAUCUCUCCGUACGGGAAGGAUGAGAAGCUUCGACUAAGGUUCGAUUCGAGCGCAGCGAGAAAGCGUUGCCGCAGGCAACGACCCGAAGGGCGAAGCGCGCAGCGC